Molecule: ribosomal RNA, 417 nt
Filed under: Triticum aestivum (bread wheat)
Lineage: Eukaryota; Viridiplantae; Streptophyta; Magnoliopsida; Poales; Poaceae
Description: partial small subunit ribosomal RNA
Source: RNAcentral
AUGGUGAAGGAGAUGGAGAAGAAAUGGAUUAAAUAUUUUGAGGAGUCAUUCUUAACAAGUUGUAUGCCGGUGAUAUAUGAUCCGAGGUACAAGUAUGAGUAUGUUCACUUCCGAUUGACUGCAGCUUUUGGUGGUGGCGCCGAGAAAUAUCUUACCAAGGUGAAGAAUGCGAUGAAGAUCCUAUUUGCUGAAUAUGCAUCUGAAUUUGGAAACACUUUUGAUGAAGUGUCCGCGUCUACCGUGCGUGUCGAGGCCGCAUUCAGCAAUGCUGGAAGGAUCAUCAGUGAUCAAAGAAGUAGUUUCAGCCCGAGUACUGCCGAGACGCUGAUGUGCCUCGAGGAUUGGCUUCGAGCUGUUGAUCGCGAAAAGGCGGAGCCAACAGUUGGAGACCGUGGUGUGAUCAAGACCAUGCUGUAG